CUGGGACUAGAUUUCAGAGGAAAUGGUAGACAUUUAUAGCUGGGAGGCAGGGAGGUGGAAGGAGAGGUUACUGUCCCAGGAGUCCAGGGAAGGAAGAGGCAAUUUUUCAAAAAGUACAAGUGGCCAGUAACCCCAGGGGAAGAUGCUGUCCCUUUCUGGUAAUCAGAAGAAGGCAAACACCACUACAGGGAGAUGGGAUUAGGAAAGAAAGAGAGUAACAAGGCCUGCUAUGGGGGAGGGAAGGGAGGGGGGCGGGCCCUCUUCUGCCGCACUGCUGGUGGGAGGGGAAAUUGGGGACCCGAGUUGGUGGAUGACGUAGGUCUCACGUGACCAAGAGCUGACGUGUGCAGAAGUCCUUCUUGUUCUGGUCGUUGUUCCCGUCUGAGUAUCAGCUCCCCAUUGCCCCGAAGGCCAGCGGGCCUGCAGCAGAGGAAAGGAGGAGAAGAAGGAGAUUGUCCCGGAUCCGUGCAGGUCUGCUGUAGCAGGUGGCACCAGUUUAAACGAGGGAGGAAGUUUCCUCGGAUCAGUAGAGGUUGCAAGGGUUGUUGGGCGUGGCACACCUCCAGGGGAGGGAAGAAGGGGCAAACUGCUUGUCUGGAGGAGAGGACAACACAAGGAGAAGAGAAACUCCACCCCUAGGUCCACCUCCAGAAUCAGUUGUCGUGGCCUUGAAGUGGCUGAAGACGAUCAUCCUCCACAGGCCUGCAUCCAGGCCAGGCCCAUAGCCCUCCUCCCCCAGCCUGAGUGACUACUCUGUUCCUUGGUCCCUG
RNAcentral lists this long non-coding RNA (770 nucleotides) under Cervus hanglu yarkandensis (Yarkand deer). RNAcentral describes it as "lncRNA (ENSCHYG00000016895.1)". Lineage: Eukaryota; Metazoa; Chordata; Mammalia; Artiodactyla; Cervidae. The record is from RNAcentral.